AGCACGUAAUCGCCGGUGUAACUCAUGUUGGCUGGGGGGCCUCCCGGCGCGCGGCGAGGCUGGGUGCUACCCCGUGCCAAUUGCUUGUGCUCAGCUGCACGGUGCUGGCCUUUGAGUGCGCCGAGGGCGAUGAGAGAGCUCAACUGCCACCCACCUCUCCCCGGGAGGACCAAUAGCCAAGUUGAGCCCACCCGGCUCAAGAGAACACCCGAUGGGGUAUAAGUCCGCCCUGGAAGGCCAAGUGCGAGUUGUGUUUUGUUUUGUUUUUUUGAGGAGUCCAAGAUGGGCACGGCUGUGACAUUGCCCCUGGAGACUGAUUUCCCACGAGCUGUUCUUUCUCAGAAGCUCCACAGUGCAGGACCAUCUCCAGAAAACAGUCUUUAGCGUGUAUUUCCUUUUAUCGUCAACCCGGAGCCCAACGGCAGCUAUUGCGAGAGGCCAAAAAUGUUUUGGAGGAAGAAAAACAAAGGCAGGAAGUGGCGGCGGCCUGACGGUGCGUGUGUGUCUGCGGAGAAGGGAGGGAGCCAUUUCAAUCUCUUCUUGUUUUUCCAAACUUCAAGGUCUAGGCAGCCCUAGCAGGGCCGGCCCGUCGCUCCCGGUGCAGCAUUUGGAGAUGGCCACCCGGACAGGCGAAGGCUGGCGCCCGAGCCAGCCUCGUCAGGCGGAAACGGCUAACGAGGCGAUUUGCUCAGCAGAGUAAACCAAGUCUUUCCAAAUUUCAUUUGAUUUGGCCCUAAAAGUCAGGGGUUGGGGGAUUCUGCAACGCCUCCCAGACCUUCCUCGGCAGGCGGGCUGAGUGCGCCUUGCCGGGGAUUCCUAAGCUCUGCACUCCACUCCACGCCUCUUCCCAGGUGGGAUAUGGGAAUAAAGUGUGUCCAGGUGCAUCUACCCAGCA
Non-coding RNA from Odocoileus virginianus texanus, 895 nucleotides. Lineage: Eukaryota; Metazoa; Chordata; Mammalia; Artiodactyla; Cervidae. The record is from RefSeq and is a predicted model, not a curated record.